This is a long non-coding RNA of Heteronotia binoei (common prickly gecko), 719 nucleotides long. RefSeq lists it as uncharacterized. Lineage: Eukaryota; Metazoa; Chordata; Lepidosauria; Squamata; Gekkonidae. The transcript has 2 exons. The record is from RefSeq and is a predicted model, not a curated record.
GCUUGGCUGGACAGUGAUACAAACUGAUGGUGCCCCCAGGAUCUACAAAAAGGUAACACUAUCACCUAAACAAAUUAUGAACAGUUAUGGUAAAGAGGUGCAAUCAGCAUAAGCUCUCCCCUUAAGGCAUCCUUCUUGCCAUCUGGGAGAUGUUCUUACAAGUUUUCAUACCUUUCCUGUCGUUCAGUGGUAGGCUUUUCCCCACCCCUUCCUGGAGUGCCUUAGGGAGCAAGAGCUUACAGAUGUGAACUUCAUAGCAACAAGAACAAAACACAGUAAAGAACUCAAGCUUGAGUGGACAGCAAUAAAUUAUAAAGAGCCAUCAAUUCAGUGGGUAGAUGGACUACCAGCCUCAGAAAAAUGUGAAAUGGACAGUUGGGAGUGUUCCCAUGAGUGACACACAGAAUAGUGUGUAGCAUAGCUGGUUAUAAUUACAUUCUGAUGGUUUGGAAGCUCUUAAUUGCAAAUAGAAAUGCUGCAAUUUUAUAUCUUCUUCUCUAUAUAGUUGCAUGAUGAAAUAAUGCUGGGAAGACUUUGUACAAACUGAACCAGAAUUUCAUAAGACAGGUUUGAGAAGUAAGUGCAAGGGAAAGCAAAAUAUAAAUGUAUUUCAUCUUUGUAAAAACACCCUUUUUUACUCUGAAUGUAUUUGAUAUCUUGUAAUGAUAUUAAACUUUGAAUUUAAUUUUAGAUUAAAAUUUAGUAUGCUAUGAAAUGUA